Molecule: ribosomal RNA, 245 nt
Filed under: uncultured bacterium
Lineage: Bacteria
Description: partial 16S ribosomal RNA
Rfam family: Bacterial small subunit ribosomal RNA
Source: RNAcentral
UACGUAGGGUCCGAGCGUUGUCCGGAAUUAUUGGGCGUAAAGAGCUCGUAGGCGGUUUGUCGCGUCUGCUGUGAAAUCUGGAGGCUCAACCUCCAGCCUGCAGUGGGUACGGGCAGACUAGAGGUGCGGUAGGGGAGAAUGGAAUUCCUGGUGUAGCGGUGGAAUGCGCAGAUAUCAGGAGGAACACCGAUGGACGAGGCAGCACUCUGGGCCGGUACUGACGGCUGAGGAGCGAAAGCGUGGGG